This 484-nucleotide ribosomal RNA is filed under the name uncultured bacterium. Its description in RNAcentral is "partial 16S ribosomal RNA". It matches the Rfam family "Bacterial small subunit ribosomal RNA", at positions 30 to 507 of the family's 1533-position model. The record is from RNAcentral.
AUUGAACACUGGCGGCAGGCCUAACACAUGCAAGUCGAGCGGAUGAAGGGAGCUUGCUCCUGGCUUCAGCGGCGGACGGGUGAGUAAUGCCUAGGAAUCUGCCUGGUCGUGGGGGAUAACGUCCGGAAACGGGCGCUAAUACCGCAUACGUCCAGCGGGAGAAAGUGGGGGAUCUUCGGACCCCACGCUAUUAGAUGAGCCUAGGUCGGAUUAGCUAGUUGGUGGGGUAAAGGCCUACCAAGGCGACGAUCCGUAACUGGUCUGAGAGGAUGAUCAGUCACACUGGAACUGAGACACGGUCCAGACUCCUACGGGAGGCAGCAGUGGGGAAUAUUGGACAAUGGGCGAAAGCCUGAUCCAGCCAUGCCGCGUGUGUGAAGAAGGUCUUCGGAUUGUAAAGCACUUUAAGUUGGGAGGAAGGGCAGUAAGUUAAUACCUUGCUGUUUUGACGUUACCAACAGAAUAAGCACCGGCUAACUUCGUG